AAGGUUUCGUUUUGGGUAAACAAGAUUGGAGUGUUACUACAUCAGUUUUGUACUUCAAACAAUUCCAGCAUCAAUGUAGACUUCACAUGUACAAAAUGAAGGUAUGAUCGUGUCUUUAUAAUAUAUAAUAAAUAUGAUUAUAUCUUUGGUUACUGUAGUUGGGUUUGAUAACCAAUACUAGCUCAAUCUAAAAGUACACUAUACAUGUUUCUUGUUUCUUAAGUAUGCAAAUACCAUUAAAUAUGUUCCUACAUAAAACCUCAAGCGCAUGUAAUAAACGUUUCAUUUAUUAAUAACUAAUAUUAGUAUAAAAUACAUUUGUCUCUAGAUGGACUAUUUUUCGUGAAGAUGUAUGCAUUGAAACCUGAGCUGCCAAAGAGAGUUAGCAAGUCCAAAUCUAAGAGGCAAGUAAAUAGACCUGAUAUCAUCAGAUGAGGACAUUGUCUUUAAACAAAAUGCACUUUAUAGAGAGUUCUCUUUUUUAUUUCUUGAUGUGAUUGAAUUAUGUAUAUAUGCAGUCUAUUUGGGUUAUGUAACAUUGAUUCGGUAAGUGCAGUAGAAAAAUUGGACCAUUAUUUGUUUUAUGGCAUUGUACCUGCCUCUCAUCUUCUUUCAAAAGAAUUGUGUGUCACUACUUUGGUGUUUUUAAAGUGUGUUUGAUAGUGAAAAUGUUUAUGUUAGAUCAAAUGUUUCAUGUACAAUUUUCUUAUGCAACUGGAUUUGUUUAAGUAAUGCAUACAAAUCAUCCAUUUGGGCUAGAAAGAAAAUAAAAUCCAUUUCAGCAAACUAACUUGAAAUUACUGUUUAAUAUGUUAAUAGUGGUUUCAAGUUAGUUUGAUGAAAUGGAUCGGCAAGAAAAUGAUGUUCAAUCUAUUUUCAUUUUUUAUUUUGUAUGGUUUAAAAAUACUAAUGAAAUUUUAAUCUCAAUUUCAUGUACUAUCAAAAGCGUUUUCAAUUAUGUUAUUUAAUUUGCAUAUAGUACUUCUCUUAA
Molecule: long non-coding RNA, 991 nt
Filed under: Olea europaea subsp. europaea
Lineage: Eukaryota; Viridiplantae; Streptophyta; Magnoliopsida; Lamiales; Oleaceae
Source: RNAcentral